UGAGCAACCUGCCCUUGACACUGGAAUAACAGUUGGAAACAGUUGCUAAUACCGGAUAUGACCUCUGACGACAUCGUCUGGAGGUGGAAAGCUCCGGCGGUCAAGGAUGGGCUCGCGGCCUAUCAGCUUGUUGGUGAGGUAACGGCUCACCAAGGCUUCGACGGGUAGCCGGCCUGAGAGGGUGACCGGCCACACUGGGACCGAGACACGGCCCAGACCUCCGUACGGGGAGG
This 233-nucleotide ribosomal RNA is filed under the name uncultured bacterium. RNAcentral describes it as "partial 16S ribosomal RNA". It matches the Rfam family "Bacterial small subunit ribosomal RNA", at positions 118 to 347 of the family's 1533-position model. The record is from RNAcentral.